This 499-nucleotide ribosomal RNA is filed under the name Phellinus spiculosus. RNAcentral describes it as "partial small subunit ribosomal RNA". It matches the Rfam family "Bacterial small subunit ribosomal RNA", at positions 428 to 921 of the family's 1533-position model. The record is from RNAcentral. Lineage: Eukaryota; Fungi; Basidiomycota; Agaricomycetes; Hymenochaetales; Hymenochaetaceae.
AAAUCCUUGGUGUGUCAUCGAGGAUAACGUAAGGGAAAAUAAUGAUAUUACCUUACUAUUAGUGUCGUCCAAAUGCUCGUGCCAGAAGACUCGGUAAGGCGAGAGACACAAACGUUAAUCGUCUUGAUCAGGCGUAAAGGGUUUGUAGGCGGCUUUAAGUAUCCAAUAUUAAGUUUACUAUUAUAAUUAAUUUUUUUAUCUUUUUAAAGGAUCAAUUAAAGCUAGAAUCUAAUAGGGGUUAAAACAAUGCUUAAGAGAGGUGUACCAACCAUAGAUAUUAAGUAGAGUGAUAAGGGCGAAGGCUUUUUUCCAAUAAAGAUUGACGCUGAGAAACGAAGGUGAGGAUAGAAAAAAGGAUUAGAGACCCUUGUAUCCCUCACUGUCAACGAUGAAUGGUAGUUACUAGGUAGAAAUGACCUAGAGACGAUGUUAACACGAAAACCAUUCCGCCUUGUGAGUACGACUGCAAAGUUGAAAACAAAAAAAUUAGUCGGUUUCG